Molecule: ribosomal RNA, 1244 nt
Filed under: Candidatus Phytoplasma convolvuli
Lineage: Bacteria; Bacillati; Mycoplasmatota; Mollicutes; Acholeplasmatales; Acholeplasmataceae
Description: bacterial SSU rRNA
Rfam family: Bacterial small subunit ribosomal RNA
Source: RNAcentral
GAAACGACUGCUAAGACUGGAUAGGAGAUAAGAAGGCAUCUUUUUAUUUUUAAAAGACCUAGCAAUAGGUAUGCUUAGGGAAGAGCUUGCGUCACAUUAGUUAGUUGGUGGGGUAAUGGCCUACCAAGACGAUGAUGUGUAGCCGGGCUGAGAGGUCGAACGGCCACAUUGGGACUGAGACACGGCCCAAACUCCUACGGGAGGCAGCAGUAAGGAAUUUUCGGCAAUGGAGGAAACUCUGACCGAGCAAUGCCGCGUGAACGAUGAAGUAUUUCGGUACGUAAAGUUCUUUUAUUAGGGAAGAAAAAAUGGUGGAAAAAUCAUUAUGACGGUACCUAAUGAAUAAGCCCCGGCUAACUAUGUGCCAGCAGCCGCGGUAAUACAUAGGGGGCAAGCGUUAUCCGGAAUUAUUGGGCGUAAAGGGUGCGUAGGCGGUUAAAUAAGUUUAUGGUCUAAGUGCAAUGCUUAACAUUGUGAUGCUAUAAAAACUGUUUAGCUAGAGUUGGAUAGAGGCAAGUGGAAUUCCAUGUGUAGUGGUAAAAUGCGUAAAUAUAUGGAGGAACACCAGGAGCGAAGGCGGCUUGCUGGGUCUUAACUGACGCUGAGGCACGAAAGCGUGGGGAGCAAACAGGAUUAGAUACCCUGGUAGUCCACGCCCUAAACGAUGAGUACUAAACGUUGGUUAAAACCAGUGUUGAAGUUAACACAUUAAGUACUCCGCCUGAGUAGUACGUACGCAAGUAUGAAACUUAAAGGAAUUGACGGGACUCCGCACAAGCGGUGGAUCAUGUUGUUUAAUUCGAAGGUACCCGAAAAACCUUACCAGGUCUUGACAUGCUUUUGCAAAGCUUUAGAAAUAUAGUGGAGGUUAUCAGAAGCACAGGUGGUGCAUGGUUGUCGUCAGCUCGUGUCGUGAGAUGUUGGGUUAAGUCCCGCAACGAGCGCAACCCUUGUUGUUAAUUGCCAUCAUUAAGUUGGGGACUUUAGCAAGACUGCCAGUGAUAAAUUGGAGGAAGGUGGGGACGACGUCAAAUCAUCAUGCCCCUUAUGACCUGGGCUACAAACGUGAUACAAUGGCUGUUACAAAGGGUAGCUAAAACGCAAGUUUCUGGCGAAUCUCAAAAAAGCAGUCUCAGUUCGGAUUGAAGUCUGCAACUCGACUUCAUGAAGUUGGAAUCGCUAGUAAUCGCGAAUCAGCAUGUCGCGGUGAAUACGUUCUCGGGGUUUGUACACACCGCCCGUCA